RNAcentral lists this ribosomal RNA (424 nucleotides) under uncultured bacterium. Its description in RNAcentral is "bacterial SSU rRNA". It matches the Rfam family "Bacterial small subunit ribosomal RNA", at positions 355 to 771 of the family's 1533-position model. The record is from RNAcentral.
UGGGGAAUAUUGGACAAUGGGCGCAAGCCUGAUCCAGCCAUACCGCGUGGGUGAAGAAGGCCUUCGGGUUGUAAAGCCCUUUUGUUGGGAAAGAAAAGCAGCCGGUUAAUACCCGGCUGUCAUGACGGUACCCAAAGAAUAAGCACCGGCUAACUUCGUGCCAGCAGCCGCGGUAAUACGAAGGGUGCAAGCGUUACUCGGAAUUACUGGGCGUAAAGCGUGCGUAGGUGGUUUGUUAAGUCUGAUGUGAAAGCCCUGGGCUCAACCUGGGAAUUGCAUUGGAUACUGGCAGGCUAGAGUGCGGUAGAGGAUGGCGGAAUUCCCGGUGUAGCAGUGAAAUGCGUAGAGAUCGGGAGGAACAUCCGUGGCGAAGGCGGCCAUCUGGACCAGCACUGACACUGAGGCACGAAAGCGUGGGGAGCAA